AGAGUUUGAUCCUGGCUCAGGAUGAACGCUAGCUACAGGCUUAACACAUGCAAGUCGAGGGGAAACGACAUCGAAAGCUUGCUUUUGAUGGGCGUCGACCGGCGCACGGGUGAGUAACGCGUAUCCAACCUGCCCACCACUUGGGGAUAACCUUGCGAAAGUAAGACUAAUACCCAAUGAUAUCUCUAGAAGACAUCUGAAAAGAGAUUAAAAGAUUUUAUCGGUGAUGGAUGGGGAUGCGUCUGAUUAGCUUGUUGGCGGGGUAACGGCCACCAAGGCUACGAUCAGUAGGGGGUUCUGAGAGGAAGGUCCCCCACAUUGGAACUGAGACACGGUCCAAAUCCCUACGGGGAGCA
RNAcentral lists this ribosomal RNA (356 nucleotides) under uncultured bacterium. RNAcentral's name for it is "bacterial SSU rRNA". It matches the Rfam family "Bacterial small subunit ribosomal RNA", at positions 8 to 350 of the family's 1533-position model. The record is from RNAcentral.